RNAcentral lists this ribosomal RNA (221 nucleotides) under uncultured bacterium. Its description in RNAcentral is "partial 16S ribosomal RNA". It matches the Rfam family "Bacterial small subunit ribosomal RNA", at positions 1282 to 1500 of the family's 1533-position model. The record is from RNAcentral.
CCGGUCUCAGUUCGGAUCGCAGUCUGCAACUCGACUGCGUGAAGGUGGAGUCGCUAGUAAUCGCGGAUCAGCAACGCCGCGGUGAAUGCGUUCCCGGGCCUUGUACACACCGCCCGUCAAGUCAUGAAAGUGGGCAGCACCCGAAGACGGUGGCCUAACCCUUGUGGGGGGAGCCGUCUAAGGUGAGGCUCGUGAUUGGGACUAAGUCGUAACAAGGUACC